AGGACGAACGCUGGCGGCGUGCUUAACACAUGCAAGUCGAGCGGUAAGGCCCUUUCGGGGUACACGAGCGGCGAACGGGUGAGUAACACGUGGGUAACCUGCCCUGUACUUUGGGAUAAGCCCGGGAAACUGGGUCUAAUACCGGAUACGACUGCCUACCGCAUGGUGGGUGGUGGAAAGUUCUGGCGGUACAGGAUGGGCCCGCGGCCUAUCAGCUUGUUGGUGGGGUGAUGGCCUACCAAGGCGACGACGGGU
RNAcentral lists this ribosomal RNA (255 nucleotides) under uncultured bacterium. RNAcentral's name for it is "partial small subunit ribosomal RNA". It matches the Rfam family "Bacterial small subunit ribosomal RNA", at positions 26 to 284 of the family's 1533-position model. The record is from RNAcentral.